GUCGCGCUGGCGUAGUGGUAGCGCAUCUCACUCACACUGAGAAGGUCGUGAGAUCGAAACUCACGCGCGACA
Transfer RNA from Capsaspora owczarzaki ATCC 30864, 72 nucleotides. It matches the Rfam family "tRNA". From Rfam's summary of the family: Transfer RNA (tRNA) molecules are approximately 80 nucleotides in length. Their secondary structure includes four short double-helical elements and three loops (D, anti-codon, and T loops). NCBI's taxonomy places the organism in Eukaryota, Filasterea, Ministeriida, Capsasporidae. The record is from Rfam.